CCUACGGGAGACAGCAGUGAGGAAUAUUGGUCAAUGGGCGCAAGCCUGAACCAGCCAAGUCGCGUGAGGGAUGACGGUCCUAUGGAUUGUAAACCUCUUUUGUCGGGGAGCAAGGCCCGCCACGUGUGGCCGGCCGGAUAGUCCCCGAAGAAAAAGCAUCGGCUACCUCCGUGCCAGCAGCCGCGGUAAUACGGAGGAUGCGAGCGUUAUCCGGAUUUAUUGGGUUUAAAGGGUGCGUAGGCGGAAGGUUAAGUCAGCGGUAAAAUGUCGGGGCUCAACACCGGCCUGCCGUUGAAACUGGUAGUCUUGAGUGAGCGAGAAGUAUGCGGAAUGCGUGGUGUAGCGGUGAAAUGCAUAGAUAUCACGAAGAACUCCGAUUGCGAAGGCAGCAUACCGGCGCGCAACUGACGCUGAGGCACGAAAGCGUGGGGAUCGAACAGGAUUAGAUACCCGGGUAGUC
Molecule: ribosomal RNA, 460 nt
Filed under: uncultured bacterium
Lineage: Bacteria
Description: partial 16S ribosomal RNA
Rfam family: Bacterial small subunit ribosomal RNA
Source: RNAcentral